This 324-nucleotide ribosomal RNA is filed under the name uncultured eukaryote. Its description in RNAcentral is "partial 18S ribosomal RNA". It matches the Rfam family "Eukaryotic small subunit ribosomal RNA", at positions 1470 to 1796 of the family's 1831-position model. The record is from RNAcentral.
CCCUUAGAUGUUCUGGGCCGCACGCGCGCUACACUGAUGCAUUCAACGAGUUUCUUCCUGGUCCGAGAGGAAUGGGUAACCUUUUGAAAGUGCAUCGUGAUAGGGAUAGACUAUUGCAAUUAUUGGUCUUCAACGAGGAAUUCCUAGUAGACGUAGUUCAUCAGACUGCAUCGAUUACGUCCCUGCCCUUUGUACACACCGCCCGUCGCUCCUACCGAUUGAAUGCUCAGGUGAGCCAUUCGGACUUUCAUCAUGCUGGUUUCCAGUUUUGAUGAAGGAAAGUCUAGCGAACCUUAUCAUUUAGAGGAAGGAGAAGUCGUAACA